Non-coding RNA from Ictidomys tridecemlineatus (thirteen-lined ground squirrel), 69 nucleotides. The record is from Rfam. NCBI's taxonomy places the organism in Eukaryota, Metazoa, Chordata, Mammalia, Rodentia, Sciuridae.
GGGGUUGUGGCUCAGUGGUAGAGCACUUGCCUAGCAAGAGUGAGGCACUGGGUUCGAUCCUCAGCACCA